AUCCAGACUCCUACGGGAGGCAGCAGUGGGGAAUAUUGCACAAUGGGGGAAACCCUGAUGCAGCAACGCCGCGUGAGUGAAGAAGUAUUUCGGUAUGUAAAGCUCUAUCAGCAGGGAAGAAGAAGGACGGUACCUGACUAAGAAGCCCCGGCUAACUACGUGCCAGCAGCCGCGGUAAUACGUAGGGGGCGAGCGUUAUCCGGAUUUACUGGGUGUAAAGGGAGCGUAGACGGUUUUUCAAGUCUGAAGUGAAAGCCCGCGGCUCAACUGCGGAACGGCUUUGGAAACUGAGGGACUAGAGUGCUGGAGGGGCAGGCGGAAUUCCUGGUGUAGCGGUGAAAUGCGUAGAUAUCAGGAGGAACACCGGUGGCGAAAGCGCUUUACUGGGCCGUUAUUGACGCUGAGGAACGAAAGCCAGGGUAGCAAACGGGAUUAGAUACCCUUGUAA
RNAcentral lists this ribosomal RNA (448 nucleotides) under uncultured bacterium. RNAcentral's name for it is "bacterial SSU rRNA". It matches the Rfam family "Bacterial small subunit ribosomal RNA", at positions 329 to 793 of the family's 1533-position model. The record is from RNAcentral.